GACGAACGCUGGCGGCGUGCUUAACACAUGCAAGUCGAACGGUAAGGCUCCAGCUUGCUGGGGUACACGAGUGGCGAACGGGUGAGUAACACGUGGGUGACCUGCCCUGCACUUCGGGAUAAGCCUGGGAAACUGGGUCUAAUACCGGAUAGGACCGCACCGUGAGGGUGUGGUGGAAAGUUUUUUCGGUGUGGGAUGGGCCCGCGGCCUAUCAGCUUGUUGGUGGGGUAAUGGCCUACCAAGGCGGCGACGGGUAGCCGGCCUGAGAGGGUGGACGGCCACAUUGGGACUGAGACACGGCCCAGACUCCUACGGGAGGCAGCAGUGGGGAAUAUUGCACAAUGGGCGGAAGCCUGAUGCAGCGACGCCGCGUGGGGGAUGACGGCCUUCGGGUUGUAAACUCCUUUCACCAUCGACGAAGGGUUUCUGACGGUAGAUGGAGAAGAAGCACCGGCUAACUACGAGCCAGCAGCCGCGGUAAUACGUAGGGUGCGAGCGUUGUCCGGAAUUACUGGGCGUAAAGAGCUCGUAGGUGGUUUGUCGCGUCGUCUGUGAAAUUCCGGGGCUUAACUCCGGGCGUGCAGGCGAUACGGGCAUAACUUGAGUACUGUAGGGGAGACUGGAAUUCCUGGUGUAGCGGUGAAAUGCGCAGAUAUCAGGAGGAACACCGGUGGCGAAGGCGGGUCUCUGGGCAGUAACUGACGCUGAGGAGCGAAAGCAUGGGGAGCGAACAGGAUUAGAUACCCUGGUAGUCCAUGCCGUAAACGGUGGGCGCUAGGUGUGGGUUUCCUUCCACGGGAUCCGUGCCGUAGCUAACGCAUUAAGCGCCCCGCCUGGGGAGUACGGCCGCAAGGCUAAAACUCAAAGGAAUUGACGGGGGCCCGCACAAGCGGCGGAGCAUGUGGAUUAAUUCGAUGCAACGCGAAGAACCUUACCUGGGCUUGACAUAUACAGGAUCGCGCCAGAGAUGGUGUUUCCCUUGUGGCUUGUAUACAGGUGGUGCAUGGUUGUCGUCAGCUCGUGUCGUGAGAUGUUGGGUUAAGUCCCGCAACGAGCGCAACCCUUGUCUUAUGUUGCCAGCACGUUGUGGUGGGGACUCGUAAGAAACUGCCGGGGUUAACUCGGAGGAAGGUGGGGAUGACGUCAAAUCAUCAUGCCCCUUAUGUCCAGGGCUUCACACAUGCUACAAUGGUCGGUACAGUGGGUUGCCAGUCCGUGAGGGCGAGCUAAUCCCGCAAAGCCGGUCUCAGUUCGGAUCGGGGUCUGCAACUCGACCCCGUGAAGUCGGAGUCGCUAGUAAUCGCAGAUCAGCAACGCUGCGGUGAAUACGUUCCCGGGCC
RNAcentral lists this ribosomal RNA (1340 nucleotides) under uncultured bacterium. RNAcentral describes it as "partial 16S ribosomal RNA". It matches the Rfam family "Bacterial small subunit ribosomal RNA", at positions 28 to 1380 of the family's 1533-position model. The record is from RNAcentral.